This 71-nucleotide transfer RNA is filed under the name Loxodonta africana (African savanna elephant). It matches the Rfam family "tRNA". From Rfam's summary of the family: Transfer RNA (tRNA) molecules are approximately 80 nucleotides in length. Their secondary structure includes four short double-helical elements and three loops (D, anti-codon, and T loops). The record is from Rfam by way of RNAcentral. Lineage: Eukaryota; Metazoa; Chordata; Mammalia; Proboscidea; Elephantidae.
GCAUUGGUGGCUCAGUGGCAGAAUUCUCACUUUCCAUGCAGAAGACCUGGGUUCAAUUCCCAGCCAGUGCA